AGAACAUAUUGUCCUCUUUUUAGUGUGCUUGCAGCUACGUGCAGAAGUGCUUGUGGUUUUGUGUAUAUGUGUGUAUAUGUCAGAAAUAUGAGGCCAUGGUCUGGUUUCAGUCUUGCAGGUGUUAGAAAUAUGAGACCAUGGUCUGGUUUCAUUUCGCAGCUUCACCCACGCUGGAAAAUUCCACUAUGCUCAGAUAUGAAAUAUGCUGAUUCAUGUUAAGACAAAAUGCUGUAUGACUAGCCCAUAUUUGGAGUGCCUUUCUGCUAUCAGCCCCUGUGUAUAAAUAUCCCUGUCCAUCCUGUGUUGUCAGGCUUGCAGAAUAAACCAUUCUAACUACAGUUUGGUCUCUUCUCAUGUCUCCAGGUCGACCUGCUGAACUUUGCUGAAUCUGGUGCCUAAUAUAGGGGAAAUCUUGCAGACUUGGGGGCUUCGUCCGGGAUACAUCUGAUCAGGUAAGAGAAUUUUUAUUCACACUGCCUGCUCCGGUGUAUCUCAGGAAAUCGUAAGAUUUUAAUUAAAAAUUGGGUUGCGCAAGCAAGAGAGGUCUGUGUUCUAGAGCACAGAACAUCCUGUCAAGUUUACUUUCCACAGUAAAUUGCACAGAAGGAUUUGUGUCGUCGUACCCGAUUAAAUUUGGGUUCCACAAAUCAGGGAAAUUUAUUAAUUUGACACUUGAUAGCCUGUCAAGUUUACUUCAAACAGUAAAUUGCACAGAAGGAUUUGUGUUGUUGUACCCGAUUAAAUUUGGGUUCCACAAAUCAGGGGUUUAAUAAAUUUUAGUAAAUAAGUAUUACGCACCAGCUUCAGCAAUAUGGGACAAGGAUAUCCAAAACCAGAACCCAGUGAGAGUCCAAAGCAAUGGAUGGAUAGAUGUGGGUGGGGAUUUUACACUGAACCCUGGCUGUCCAAUUUAGCUGGGUGGACAGAGGGACAAUCUCAAUGGAGAGACUUUCCUAGGGAAGGAACAUUUGACCCAGGUUUCCUUCAGUUAGCUUACAAAUUGAUAUGGGGAUCCAGAAUGGGAUGAUCAGUAUAUGAUGAAUGGAUAUGACACAUGGUGUACAAUGAGCUCUAUAUGGAGAGAUAAAAAGGGCAUUUUCACACCUAAAACCGUUUUGAAAUCUGUCCCCAAACCCAAAAGCAGAAGCAAUACUGCCCGUGAGGCAGAUAAGAGGGGUUCUCUCGCAGCUGCUAAGACAACUAUGACGUCACCACCCCCUUAUACGGGGCCUCAGCCUGCAGUUUCAUGCUCUGCUGCUAGCGCUCCCCCUAUAAUAUCUUCUGUUUAUCCGUCCCUGACAGAAAUGAUUAAAACUAAACCAGACUCCCCUCCGACAGCACGGAGGGCACUACUUCAGCUUCUAAUGUGGCUGCCGUGUGGGUUGCUAAACCACGAGGGAUAGAGAUAAUUCCGCCUUCACCCUCUGUUCUUAAAGAUCUCAUAUCUCUUUUACCAGAAGUGGACAAACCACUGCAAUUUGUAGACAUGCUGUUGCGCAGUUCGCGUCACUGCCAACUAAUUGGGGCAGGUUAUCGAUUUAUCCUUCAAAUCAAAAUGGGUUUGUCCUAUGACGAUGACGAAAUAAUAGAAAAAAUACCUGCUCUUGAUCCCAAGCUUGAUAUAGUACAAACAGAAACUGUUAAGGAAGAAACAGAUGAUAAAAAGACACGUACUCGUAUAAAAACACGCCUCGCGUGGAAAGAUGAUCAGGAGGAGCUCCUGACACAUCUAAAACAGCAGCUUACUAAAUACUUAGUACCAUACUUACUGGUCUGAAUGUGACGCCACGACUGAUCCUAAUGGAAUAAUGCUAGAUGGCAAAGGCCGUUUAUGCCUGCCAUCAUCCUGUGCACCUUUUCUCGUCCGCGAGUUUCACGGUGUUACACACCGCGGCCGAAGAGGGGUAAUAGACACAAUGAGUUCCUUUUUAUGCAUUAAUAAUUUACAACAUCAUGUUAAUAACACGCUAGAUAGAUGUCUGAUAUGUGCUCAAAAUAAUAUCACUAAACCUCAAGCUAAACAUCAACAAUUGCCCCUUCCUGAAACACCUUUUCAGGAAUGGCAGGUAGAUUUCACACAUCUGCCAAAGAGGGGUCCCAAUAAAUAUUUACUGGUUUUUGUGGACAAAUUUUCAAAAUGGGUUGAAGCCUUCCCAUGCAGUAAAGAAGAUGCUAAUAUAGUUGUCAGAUGUUUGACAAGAGAAAUCAUUCCAAGAUACGGUAUACCAUGUGCCAUAGACUCAGAUAAGGGAACCUCAUUUACUGCGAAAGUAAUACAAAAUCUAGCUAAAGAACUCCAAAUUAAUUGGCAGCUACAUAUUCCCUGUCAUCCACAAUCAUCUGGCAUAAUAGAACGAACUAAUAGGACUAUUAAGGACAAAUUAAGAAAGGCUAUGUAACAUGCAGGGCACUCAAAUUGGCUCGCCUUGCUACCUCUCGUUUUAGCAGACAUGAGGAUGUCUCCUCACAAAAGUCUUCACAGUCUCUCUCCUUAUGAGACUGUGAUGGGACGACCCUUUCCCUCACCAUGGAGGCAAAGGGGUACCACACUGGGUGACGGUUCUUUGGAUAUUCAUAUGAGUGAAUGUGCACAACAGCUACUAACAACAUUGCAUGCAUACUGGACUAACAUACAUUCUGGUUCAGCCCCGAUGCCGGUAGACCCAACACACCCAUUUAAGGUUGGUGACAAAGUAAUGAUUAGACAGUUCAAUAAAAUGAGCACAGAACUGGGGGACCCCAAAUUUGGCCCCCCGACGGAUGUCGUGGCUGUAACCAGAACCGCCGUUUUAACCUCCUCUUCUCCACAGUGGAUCCAUGCAACCAGGAUAAAACGAGCACCUAUUGAAUAAUAAAAAUGUAUAAGUUUUGUACUAUGAUAAUCUGUCUGCAGACUCUCUUUGUUUUACAGAUACUUCGGGGGCCCCCACAUCAGCUAGCACCUCCACGCAGCAUAACUACUAAAAGGAUCAGCAUGAAGUGGCUAUGGACAUUGGGACUGUUUCUCUUUCUUGUUGCUCAAGCUAAUGCAGCCAGGCUGAAACGCUGGACACAUGAUCAUGAAUUUGGAUGGGCAGAGGAUGGGGCUGACAAUCCUAUUGAAAUAAUAUGUGGUAUCAAUAUGUGAAUGUUUUAGCUAGGUCAUAAAAUGUAUCUGGUUGUUAUGUAUGUUCUGUUAUGCCUCAUUCAGCCAAACAAACCCCUCUUUAUGCCAAACCCAUGAAUAAGACCUCUGCUAAAUGUUUUGCCAGUUUUGCAGGAUCAGGGUACCAGGACCCAUAUAUAAUUGUCGAUGACUACGAUCCAUACCGGAUUGGCAUUAGAAAUGGUACAUGUGAUGCUCUAUUUUGGGUAAAAUUUGGCCACGCUAAACCCUCACCUAUUAGCCACAAGGUUUUUUAUUAACCACUCUAUUACACACCCUGUGUGUUAUAACCAGACCAUGGGCUCUCAUUUCAUGGGAAGCACUGUUAACUGUCAACAAAUUGCCUCCUCGGGAGAGGGGGCCCCAGUCGACAUCUCAGGACCCUCAAACGGCACUUAUGUGGUCCAGGGUGGGUGGUGGUUGUGUGGGAAAAACGCCUACAUGUCCCUACCGGCCAACUGGACGGGGCAGUGUGCCCCUGUGCAUGUGACUGAUCACACUUUUAUUGUGACAGCCCAGGUCCUGUCAGCGCAGCAAAGAGUUAAACGCAGUGUCCCUGAAAUGAAGCCCCAUGACUCUGCAUGGGGUACUGACGUGCCCGAGGAUUUCAAAUUAUGGACCACUGGUAACAAAAUGGUAUUGGCUCUAUUUCCGCAAAUAGGUGUGGGAAAAGCUCUACUAAGAAUCGAGACCCUGGACUAUCGCAUGGGCCUAUUUCUGAAUGCCUCAAAAAAAAUAAUUAAUGAGGCCCAGAAUAAGGAGCUGGGUAAUCUCCGUACCAUGGUUUUGCAAAAUAGAAUGGCUCUAGAUCUCUUAACAGCAUCCCAGGGGGAGGUAUGUAAAUGAGUACUGCUAUGUCUACUCUCCAAGGGUUAAAAACUGCCAUGACUUCAGAUUAUGUUCCCGACACAACUUGGGGUUGGAUGAUGGGUCUGUUCGGCUGGGUGACUCCUUUUCUCACUAUGAUGAUUCCUGUAUGUAUUAUUCUUUUGUUGAUUUGUUGCUGUGGCCCUUUUCUCUUACAAUGUUUGAUGAAUCGUGUUUAUGCUACAAUGGACAGUAUGAUGGGUCAACGAUAUGAUAGAUUCCUCUGCGUUAGGCCUUUGGCCUAAAAGAGGGGACUGAGAGAACAUAUUGUCCUCUUUUUAGUGUGCUUGCAGCUACGUGCAGAAGUGCUUGUGGUUUUGUGUAUAUGUGUGUAUAUGUCAGAAAUAUGAGGCCAUGGUCUGGUUUCAGUCUUGCAGGUGUUAGAAAUAUGAGACCAUGGUCUGGUUUCAUUUCGCAGCUUCACCCACGCUGGAAAAUUCCACUAUGCUCAGAUAUGAAAUAUGCUGAUUCAUGUUAAGACAAAAUGCUGUAUGACUAGCCCAUAUUUGGAGUGCCUUUCUGCUAUCAGCCCCUGUGUAUAAAUAUCCCUGUCCAUCCUGUGUUGUCAGGCUUGCAGAAUAAACCAUUCUAACUACA
Non-coding RNA from Danio rerio (zebrafish), 4609 nucleotides. Lineage: Eukaryota; Metazoa; Chordata; Actinopteri; Cypriniformes; Danionidae. The record is from RefSeq and is a predicted model, not a curated record.